GGGGGCAAGCGUUGUCCGGAAUCAUUGGGCGUAAAGCGCGCGUAGGCGGCCAGAUAAGUCCGGUGUGAAAGUCACAGGCUCAACCUGUGAAUGCCGCUGGAAACUGUCUGGCUUGAGUCCGGAAGGGGCGAGUGGAAUUCCUGGUGUAGCGGUGAAAUGCGCAGAUAUCAGGAGGAACACCAAUGGCGAAGGCAGCUCGCUGGAACGGUACUGACGCUGAGGCGCGAAAGCGUGGGGAGCGAACAGG
RNAcentral lists this ribosomal RNA (247 nucleotides) under uncultured bacterium. RNAcentral's name for it is "partial 16S ribosomal RNA". It matches the Rfam family "Bacterial small subunit ribosomal RNA", at positions 530 to 776 of the family's 1533-position model. The record is from RNAcentral.